This is a long non-coding RNA of Camelus dromedarius (Arabian camel), 424 nucleotides long. RefSeq lists it as uncharacterized. The transcript has 3 exons. The record is from RefSeq and is a predicted model, not a curated record. Lineage: Eukaryota; Metazoa; Chordata; Mammalia; Artiodactyla; Camelidae.
AAUGCGGAUCCGUGAACAGGGAGGGACGGAGCGUGGCACCAGCCUCUCUGGAUCAUUGCCAGGAUCAACAAGAUAAUAGACGGGCGCCCUUCAGCAGCUUCCCCGUGAUGGGUCCUCAGCCCAGAUGGAAAAGGCUUUAUCUAUAGUGUGCUUUGACAGACGGACCUCACCAACAAUCUGUAGGGUCUUUGUAGACGUGUAAAUCCAGUGAGAGACAGAACAGACACACAGAGACACAGAGGACACGGCCAGGAGAAGACAGAGGCAGAGAUCAGAGCGAUGCGGCCACAAGCCGAGGAAUGCCUGGGGCUACCAGGGCUGGAAGAGACAAGGAAGGAACCUUCCCUGGAGCCUGCAGAGGGACCCUGGCCCUGCUGACACCUUGGUUUCAGACUUCUGGACAACACAACUGUGAGAAAAUAAA